UUGACCUCAAAUCAGGUAGGACUACCCGCUGAACUUAAGCAUAUCAAUAAGCGGAGGAAAAGAAACUAACAAGGAUUCCCCUAGUAACUGCGAGUGAAGAGGGAAAAGCUCAAAUUUAAAAUCUGGCAGUUUCACUGUCCGAGUUGUAAUUUAA
This 154-nucleotide ribosomal RNA is filed under the name Desarmillaria tabescens. Its description in RNAcentral is "partial large subunit ribosomal RNA". It matches the Rfam family "Eukaryotic large subunit ribosomal RNA", at positions 1 to 153 of the family's 3401-position model. The record is from RNAcentral. Lineage: Eukaryota; Fungi; Basidiomycota; Agaricomycetes; Agaricales; Physalacriaceae.